This 546-nucleotide ribosomal RNA is filed under the name uncultured archaeon. Its description in RNAcentral is "bacterial SSU rRNA". It matches the Rfam family "Archaeal small subunit ribosomal RNA", at positions 102 to 651 of the family's 1478-position model. The record is from RNAcentral.
AGUCAACAUAACCAAAGGACGUGGAUAAACUCGGGAAACUGAGGCUAAACCGCGAUAGACCAAGAUACCUGGAAUGGUUUUUGAUUAAAAUCUAUAUGGCCUUUGGAUUGGACUGCGACCGAUCAGGCUGUUGGUGAGGUAAUGGCCCACCAAACCUGUAACCGGUACGGGCUCUGAGAGGAGGAGCCCGGAGAUGGGUACUGAGACAAGGACCCAGGCCCUAUGGGGCGCAGCAGGCGCGAAACCUCUGCAAUAGGCGAAAGCCUGACAGGGUUAUUCUGAGUGACUUUCGCUAAGAAAGUCUUUUGACACCUCUAAAAAUGGUGUAGAAUAAGGGGUGGGCAAGUCUGGUGUCAGCCGCCGCGGUAAUACCAGCACCCCGAGUGGUCGGGACGAUUAUUGGGCCUAAAGCAUCCGUAGCCGGUUUUACAAGUCCUCCGUUAAAUCCAACUGCUUAACAGAUGGGCCGCGGAGGAUACUAUAAGACUAGGAGGCAGGAGAGGCAAGCGGUACUCAGUGGGUAGGGGUAAAAUCCGUUGAUCCAUU